CCUACUCUUGUCAUCCAGAGAACUUAGCAGAGAUGCAUGGGUGCCUUCGGGAACUCUGAGACAGGUGCUGCAUGGCCGUCGUCAGCUCGUGUUGUGAAAUGUUGGGUUAAGUCCCGCAACGAGCGCAACCCUUAUCCUUUGUUGCCAGCGGUUCGGCCGGGAACUCAAAGGAGACUGCCAGUGAUAAACUGGAGGAAGGUGGGGAUGACGUCAAGUCAUCAUGGCCCUUACGAGUAGGGCUACACACGUGCUACAAUGGCGCAUACAAAGAGAAGCGACCUCGCGAGAGCAAGCGGACCUCAUAAAGUGCGUCGUAGUCCGGAUUGGAGUCUGCAACUCGACUCCAUGAAGUCGGAAUCGCUAGGAAUCGUAGAUCAGAAUGCUACGGGAAUA
RNAcentral lists this ribosomal RNA (393 nucleotides) under Enterobacter sp. NG18. RNAcentral describes it as "bacterial SSU rRNA". It matches the Rfam family "Bacterial small subunit ribosomal RNA", at positions 974 to 1368 of the family's 1533-position model. The record is from RNAcentral. Lineage: Bacteria; Pseudomonadati; Pseudomonadota; Gammaproteobacteria; Enterobacterales; Enterobacteriaceae.